CAGCCGCCACGGUAAUACGAAGGGGGCUAGCGUUGUUCGGAUUUACUGGGCGUAAAGGGCGCGUAGGCGGACUGAUAAGUCAGGGGUGAAAUCCCAAGGCUCAACCUUGGAACUGCCUUUGAUACUGUUUGUCUUGAGUUCGAGAGAGGUAAGUGGAACCGCGAGUGUAGAGGUGAAAUUCGUAGAUAUUCGCAAGAACACCAGUGGCGAAGGCGGCUUACUGGCUCGAAACUGACGCUGAGGCGCGAAAGCGUGGGGAGCAAACAGGAUUAGAGACCCCGGUAGUCCCUGUCUCUUAUAC
Molecule: ribosomal RNA, 301 nt
Filed under: uncultured bacterium
Lineage: Bacteria
Description: partial 16S ribosomal RNA
Rfam family: Bacterial small subunit ribosomal RNA
Source: RNAcentral